RNAcentral lists this ribosomal RNA (374 nucleotides) under uncultured prokaryote. RNAcentral's name for it is "bacterial SSU rRNA". It matches the Rfam family "Bacterial small subunit ribosomal RNA", at positions 524 to 896 of the family's 1533-position model. The record is from RNAcentral.
UACGAGUGGUGCAAACGUUGUUCGGAAUUACUGGGCUUAAAGGGUGCGUAGGCGGCCAUGUAGGUCUGAUGUGAAAUACCACGGCUCAACCGUGGAACUGCGUUGGAUACCGCAUGGCUGGAGUGAGACAGAGGUAAGCGGAACUGAUGGUGGAGCGGUGAAAUGCGUUGAUAUCAUCAGGAACACCGGUGGCGAAAGCGGCUUACUGGGUCUUUACUGACGCUGAUGCACGAAAGCUAGGGGAGCAAACGGGAUUAGAUACCCCGGUAGUCCUAGCUGUAAACGAUGAGUACUAGUCCGUGGGGACCCCCACAUCCUCUCGGACGUAGCGAAAGUGUUAAGUACUCCGCCUGGGGAGUAUGGUCGCAAGGCUG